AUAGCUCACGAGCUCGUUUACAGCCCCUCCUGACGACCACGCGGCGCUGCCCGGCGUCCGCCGUCGUCCCCGCACCUAGCAGAGGGGUCGCCUUCGCCCGAGGGCCCCACCCCGCGGGCUCGCGGCCGCCCUCAGUGCCCGUCGCCGAGCCAGCGCCGCGCUUCCUGUGGGAAAGUGGUAGCUCCACGCCGCGCCCUCCGGCUUCCUCCUCCUCGGCUCCAAUCCUCGACUACUCCCUGGUUCAGGGAUACAAGUAGAGUAAACUGAAGAAUAAAUCAGCAUAUUUUGCUCCAAUGUCAGAUAAACUCCUCCAUAACCGUGGAAAUUCGAGCUAGUACAUUGAACAAAAGAAAGAAACCGCCUAUGGAACUAUCCAAGUCAACUUCUCACAGUCACAGUUCAGUCUCUCAAUGGUUCAAUAUGCCAUCCGUGAACCAAUCUUCUUUCACUAGGCAAUCUUGUUCAGAAUUGCUGUGUUUUAUCCUAACCUCCAAGAUUUACCUGUGCCCAUGGUGAAGGCCUUGAGCCUCCCAUAGAGCAUGACAAAGAUCAGCAUCAACUUCCCUUCGUUGCUCCACCAUCCAGAAAAGCUGUAUGGCUUGUCAUGGCAGAUGCUCUCCGGGUGCAGCUGUUGCAGCCUCGAACAACUGUAACCAGUGGACAGUCCUGCGUUGCCGUAUGCACUGUGUAGAUAAAAUAUUUCCCUAACUCAGAACAUCAUGAUUUAAAAUAUUUCCAAAGCUAAUUUAUUGUGAUGACAUGUCUUACAACAUGAGCUGCUUUCUGUCGUUUUUGCAGGGUAAGUACAGACUAAUAGAAGAACAUGGAUCGCAUGAGAAGAGAGAACACACCUGAUGACCUCAAAUAUCAUGUUCAACGUGGAGAAGUUGAGUGGGUCAUUUCUGAGCCUUCUCCUCUCAGUGAUGCAGACAACCAUCACAAAGAUGAUGUUGCACCCAAGCUGCGAAAAUGCUAAGUUCUGCACCAAAGAUCUCCGUUUGGCAAGUAAAUUUUCAGGCUCUUGUUGUCAGGUUCUAAAGCAUGGAGUGCUAGAUGGAUAUUGUGCCAAUAACUUACAUCAUGACGAUUAAUAGCACUAGAACGGCAGGGGAGAUAAGUGAGCAGUCGAUGGAAUUCUCCCCUGCAUGCCUCGUGUUCACUGCCAUGAACAAUGCAUUGAUGAUCUUCUGGUAAGAGCUGAGCCCAUCGAACACCAAAGAAUUCCAGUCGAUGGCGGAGAACAGCACGACAGCCAAUGCUGCAAGGCCGACAACUGUUGAGGAGAGAAACGCCGUCAGCAACUUGGGAAGCAGAUGACGAAACCGCAGCUCCUUGGGGUUCCUGAUCAUGAGCUCCAGCCCUUCCAACUUGGUCACUCUCCCCAGGAACCAUAUCAGCAGCCUCAGGAAGAGAGGGAACAGCGUGUUGCCUGCAAGAACCUGGCCGGUGAGGAGCAGGAGGAGGCCGGCAUUCUUGGAGAAGAUGGUCAUGUUCUCGUUCGUCGGCACAAGCCCGCCGUUAGCGAAGGAGGAGACGGUGACCGACACCGAGAAGAGAGCAACAUUGAUCCCUUUCUUGGUCAGUACCGCCCUUGCAGUUGGCACAUGGGUUAUGUACAAGAAAACUAGCAGAAAGCCAAGGACAUGGAUAACAGCAAGGUAGCCGAACACAACGAAUCCUAAGUAUCUUACGCUCCUACUCUUCUUCAGAUCAUUACUACUCAAAGACGGAGUUGCAUGCAUUUCUUCUUCAAGCUGCAACUCCUCGCAGAUGAUUGCACUCGCGGUAUCUAUCGUUUCGUGCUCGACAGCAACUGAACUGACCUUGUUGUUGCCUGCAGGAUCAGUUGGCUUGGCUCGGUGGUUCGGCCUAAGCAUGAGUCCUAAGAAAGAGACGAAGACCUCGCCCCCUACAAACAUCAGCAAGGUCAGGACUACGAUCUGAGUACUCGAGAGGUCCUCCAUUUUGACGGUGCUGAGGCCGGAAACUGUCAGAGCAGAGGUUGACAAGAACAGCAUGUCGACAUAUCGAGGGCUGAAGUCAGGGUUGUUUGGUUUCAGAGAUAUCAAGAGGACUGAACCUAAUAGAUCGAUGACUAGGAAGUAGGAUAAUUGAAUGAAGAAUGGGUGAAGAUGUGAUGCAACAAAUCGGCAGACAAACACGAAAAGAUCAAGAACAUAUCUACUGAUGCAAAUGAAGCUGUGCAUCUUGCUGUGGAUGAACUCAUAGUGGAAUCCCUCCAUCUGAUCUACGGGGCUGCGCAUAUGUGACAGGUGUAGGGCUGAAUGGCAUGCUAUUUAUAUGGUAGCUUGAUGUAACGACGAGAGUUAAUAAAACUAUUUUUUCUAAAAAAUAA
Long non-coding RNA from Phragmites australis (common reed), 2356 nucleotides. RefSeq lists it as uncharacterized. The record is from RefSeq and is a predicted model, not a curated record. The transcript has 4 exons. Lineage: Eukaryota; Viridiplantae; Streptophyta; Magnoliopsida; Poales; Poaceae.